RNAcentral lists this ribosomal RNA (424 nucleotides) under Arthrobacter sp. W232. RNAcentral describes it as "bacterial SSU rRNA". It matches the Rfam family "Bacterial small subunit ribosomal RNA", at positions 52 to 489 of the family's 1533-position model. The record is from RNAcentral. Lineage: Bacteria; Bacillati; Actinomycetota; Actinomycetes; Micrococcales; Micrococcaceae.
CACAUGCAAGUCGAACGAUGAAGCCCAGCUUGCUGGGUGGAUUAGUGGCGAACGGGUGAGUAACACGUGAGUAACCUGCCCUUAACUCUGGGAUAAGCCUGGGAAACUAGGUCUAAUACCGGAUAGGAGCGCCUACCGCAUGGUGGGUGUUGGAAAGAUUUAUCGGUUUUGGAUGGACUCGCGGCCUAUCAGCUUGUUGGUGAGGUAAUGGCUCACCAAGGCGACGACGGGUAGCCGGCCUGAGAGGGUGACCGGCCACACUGGGACUGAGACACGGCCCAGACUCCUACGGGAGGCAGCAGUGGGGAAUAUUGCACAAUGGGCGAAAGCCUGAUGCAGCGACGCCGCGUGAGGGAUGACGGCCUUCGGGUUGUAAACCUCUUUCAGUAGGGAAGAAGCGAAAGUGACGGUACCUGCAGAAGAA